Molecule: ribosomal RNA, 253 nt
Filed under: uncultured bacterium
Lineage: Bacteria
Description: partial 16S ribosomal RNA
Rfam family: Bacterial small subunit ribosomal RNA
Source: RNAcentral
UACAGAGGUCCCAAGCGUUGUUCGGAUUCAUUGGGCGUAAAGGGUGUGUAGGUGGCGCCGUAAGUCGGGUGUGAAAUCUCGGGGCUUAACUCCGAAACUGCGUUCGAUACUGCGGUGCUUGAGGACUGGAGAGGAGACUGGAAUUCAUGGUGUAGCAGUGAAAUGCGUAGAGAUCAUGAGGAAGACCAGUGGCGAAGGCGGGUCUCUGGACAGUUCCUGACACUGAGACACGAAGGCCAGGGGAGCAAACGGG